GAAGAGUCUGUGGUCCUGUGUUUGUUAAAUGUAUGCAAAUUAACUGCCCAGCUGACCUAUGCCUGGUAUUAUGCAAGGGGCUUCACAUCAAUUACCUUGUUUGGUCUUUACCACAGCCUCAUGAGCUUGGAAUGACUCUUAUUAGGGAAAGUGGACCCAAGAAAGUCAAGUUCCUUGCCCGAGGUCACACAGCUGGUAAAAGGCAGAGCGAAGGUUGAAACUCAGGAUGGUCUGUCUCCAGGACCCGGGCUCUCCACCACUCAGCUCUGCCUAUUCCAGGGCUGCAACCUCUCUACGGAAGUGAAGCGUCUACUGGAUCACUUUUGACCAACAGUGCAUCAGCCGGCAGAGGGAUGAGGGGUGGGCCAAGAAGGGCCACUUCCCCUCAGGCUGGAGAGAUUCCUCUGACUAAUUUACCGGGUGACUCCGAUGGCAAACUGCAGCCCUGUUCCCUCCAGCUGAGACUCCGCUGUCUUACUCAUGAUUGGGUCCCCUGGGCAGAGCCAGGGCCUGGCAGAGAGCAGAUGUCCAGUAAAUACCUCUUGGCCCUAAGAAUGACUGGGAACACUCACGCAGUGGGACACCUUCCUGUGCGUUACCUCAUCUCAUCCUCACAGCGGCCCAGAGAGCGACCGCAGGUGCACACAGAUCUGAGGCCCUGA
Molecule: long non-coding RNA, 662 nt
Filed under: Piliocolobus tephrosceles (Ugandan red Colobus)
Lineage: Eukaryota; Metazoa; Chordata; Mammalia; Primates; Cercopithecidae
Description: lncRNA (ENSPTEG00000035543.1)
Source: RNAcentral